UACAGAGGUCUCAAGCGUUGUUCGGAUUCAUUGGGCGUAAAGGGUGCGUAGGCGGCGCGGUAAGUCGGGUGUGGAAUCUCGGGGCUUAACUCCGAAACUGCAUUCGAUACUGCCGUGCUUGAGGACUGGAGAGGAGACUGGAAUUUACGGUGUAGCGGUGAAAUGCGUAGAUAUCGUAAGGAAGACCAGUGGCGAAGGCGGGCCUCUGGACAGUUCCUGACGCUGAGGCACGAAGGCCAGGGGAGCAAACGGG
RNAcentral lists this ribosomal RNA (253 nucleotides) under uncultured bacterium. RNAcentral describes it as "partial 16S ribosomal RNA". It matches the Rfam family "Bacterial small subunit ribosomal RNA", at positions 524 to 776 of the family's 1533-position model. The record is from RNAcentral.